UGNNNNNGAACGAUGAAGCCCACUUGUGGGUGGAUUAGUGGCGAACGGGUGAGUAACACGUGAGUAACCUGCCCUUAACUCUGGGAUAAGCCUGGGAAACUGGGUCUAAUACCGGAUAUGACUGACCGUCGCAUGGUGGUUGGUGGAAAGCUUUUUUGUGGUUUUGGAUGGACUCGCGGCCUAUCAGCUUGUUGGUGAGGUAAUGGCUUACCAAGGCGACGACGGGUAGCCGGCCUGAGAGGGUGACCGGCCACACUGGGACUGAGACACGGCCCAGACUCCUACGGGAGGCAGCAGUGGGGAAUAUUGCACAAUGGGCGCAAGCCUGAUGCAGCGACGCCGCGUGAGGGAUGACGGCCUUCGGGUUGUAAACCUCUUUCAGUAGGGAAGAAGCGAAAGUGACGGUACCUGCAGAAGAAGCGCCGGCUAACUACGUGCCAGCAGCCGCGGUAAUACGUAGGGCGCAAGCGUUAUCCGGAAUUAUUGGGCGUAAAGAGCUCGUAGGCGGUUUGUCGCGUCUGCCGUGAAAGUCCGGGGCUCAACUCCGGAUCUGCGGUGGGUACGGGCAGACUAGAGUGAUGUAGGGGAGACUGGAAUUCCUGGUGUAGCGGUGAAAUGCGCAGAUAUCNNGAGGAACACCGAUGGCNAANNNAGGUCUCUGGGCNUUAACUGACGCUGAGGAGCGAAAGCNUGGGGAGCGAACAGGAUUANAUACCCNGGNAGUCCAUGCCGNAAACGUUGGGCACU
RNAcentral lists this ribosomal RNA (747 nucleotides) under uncultured Arthrobacter sp. RNAcentral describes it as "partial 16S ribosomal RNA". It matches the Rfam family "Bacterial small subunit ribosomal RNA", at positions 56 to 817 of the family's 1533-position model. The record is from RNAcentral. Lineage: Bacteria; Bacillati; Actinomycetota; Actinomycetes; Micrococcales; Micrococcaceae.